UACGGGGGGGGCGAGCGUUGUUCGGAAUCACUGGGCGUAAAGGGCUCGUAGGCGGCCAACUAAGUCAAACGUGAAAUCCCUCGGCUUAACCGGGGAACUGCGUCUGAUACUGGAUGGCUUGAGUAUGGGAGAGGGAUGCGGAAUUCCAGGUGUAGCGGUGAAAUGCGUAGAUAUCUGGAGGAACACCGGUGGCGAAGGCGGCAUCCUGGACCAUUACUGACGCUGAGGAGCGAAAGCCAGGGGAGCAAACAGG
Molecule: ribosomal RNA, 253 nt
Filed under: uncultured bacterium
Lineage: Bacteria
Description: partial 16S ribosomal RNA
Rfam family: Bacterial small subunit ribosomal RNA
Source: RNAcentral